RNAcentral lists this ribosomal RNA (501 nucleotides) under uncultured bacterium. RNAcentral describes it as "partial 16S ribosomal RNA". It matches the Rfam family "Bacterial small subunit ribosomal RNA", at positions 30 to 523 of the family's 1533-position model. The record is from RNAcentral.
AUUGAACGCUGGCGGCAGGCUUAACACAUGCAAGUCGAGCGGAGAUGAGGUGCUUGCACCUUAUCUUAGCGGCGGACGGGUGAGUAAUGCUUAGGAAUCUGCCUAUUAGUGGGGGACAACAUUCCGAAAGGAAUGCUAAUACCGCAUACGUCCUACAGGAGAAAGCAGGGGAUCUUCGGACCUUGUGCUAAUAGAUGAGCCUAAGUCGGAUUAGCUAGUUGGUGGGGUAAAGGCCUACCAAGGCGACGAUCUGUAGCGGGCCUGAGAGGAUGAUCCGCCACACUGGGACUGAGACACGGCCCAGACUCCUACGGGAGGCAGCAGUGGGGAAUAUUGGACAAUGGGGGAAACCCUGAUCCAGCCAUGCCGCGUGUGUGAAGAAGGCCUUAUGGUUGUAAAGCACUUUAAGCGAGGAGGAGGCUACUGAGACUAAUACUCUUGGAUAGUGGACGUUACUCGCAGAAUAAGCACCGGCUAACUCUGUGCCAGCCGCCGCCGUAA